Molecule: small nuclear RNA, 164 nt
Filed under: Tursiops truncatus (common bottlenose dolphin)
Lineage: Eukaryota; Metazoa; Chordata; Mammalia; Artiodactyla; Delphinidae
Description: U1 spliceosomal RNA (ENSTTRG00000023580.1)
Rfam family: U1 spliceosomal RNA
About the family: U1 is a small nuclear RNA (snRNA) component of the spliceosome (involved in pre-mRNA splicing). Its 5' end forms complementary base pairs with the 5' splice junction, thus defining the 5' donor site of an intron.
Source: RNAcentral
AUACUUACCUGGCAGGGGAAAUACCAUGAUCACGAAGGUGGUUUUCCCAGGGCAAGGCUUAUCCAUUGCACUCCGGAUGUGCUGACCCCUGUGAUUUCCCCAAAUGUGGGAAACUCGACUGCAUAAUUUGUGGUAGUGGGGGACUGCGUUCGCGCUUUCCCUGA